GGUAGUUCAAUGGCAGAACAACGGUCUCCAAAACCGCAGAUGAGAGUUCGAAUCUUUCUC
This 60-nucleotide transfer RNA is filed under the name bovine gut metagenome. It matches the Rfam family "tRNA", at positions 6 to 65 of the family's 71-position model. From Rfam's summary of the family: Transfer RNA (tRNA) molecules are approximately 80 nucleotides in length. Their secondary structure includes four short double-helical elements and three loops (D, anti-codon, and T loops). The record is from RNAcentral.